GCCUACGGGGGGCAGCAGUAGGGAAUUUUCGUCAAUGGGCGCAAGCCUGAACGAGCAAUGCCGCGUGAACGAGGAAGGUCUUCGGAUCGUAAAGUUCUGUUGAAGGGGAAAAAGAGCGGAGAGAGGAAAUGGUCUCCGGUUGAUAUUACCCUUCGAGGAAGUCACGGCUAACUACGUGCCAGCAGCCGCGGUAAUACGUAGGUGGCGAGCGUUAUCCGGAAUGAUUGGGCGUAAAGGGUGCGUAGGCGGCCUGCUAAGUCUGGAGUGAAAGGUACCGGCUCAACCGGUACAGGCUCGGGAAACUG
This 305-nucleotide ribosomal RNA is filed under the name uncultured bacterium. Its description in RNAcentral is "bacterial SSU rRNA". It matches the Rfam family "Bacterial small subunit ribosomal RNA", at positions 337 to 635 of the family's 1533-position model. The record is from RNAcentral.